UGAACUCAGCAGAUAUCCCAGCAGGGUGAC
Molecule: non-coding RNA, 30 nt
Filed under: Rattus norvegicus (Norway rat)
Lineage: Eukaryota; Metazoa; Chordata; Mammalia; Rodentia; Muridae
Source: RNAcentral